UACGUAGGGGGCUAGCGUGGUCCGGAAUCAUUGGGCGUAAAGCGCGUGUAGGCGGUUCGGUAAGUCCGCUGUGAAAGUCGGGGGCUCAACCCUCGAAUGCCGGUGGAUACUGUCGGACUAGAGUACGGAAGAGGCGAGUGGAAUUCCUGGUGUAGCGGUGAAAUGCGCAGAUAUCAGGAGGAACACCAAUUGCGAAGGCAGCUCGCUGGGACGUUACUGACGCUGAGACGCGAAAGCGUGGGGAGCAAACAGG
RNAcentral lists this ribosomal RNA (253 nucleotides) under uncultured bacterium. RNAcentral describes it as "partial 16S ribosomal RNA". It matches the Rfam family "Bacterial small subunit ribosomal RNA", at positions 524 to 776 of the family's 1533-position model. The record is from RNAcentral.